RNAcentral lists this ribosomal RNA (497 nucleotides) under uncultured bacterium. RNAcentral describes it as "partial 16S ribosomal RNA". It matches the Rfam family "Bacterial small subunit ribosomal RNA", at positions 28 to 507 of the family's 1533-position model. The record is from RNAcentral.
GAUGAACGCUGGCGGCGUGCCUAAUACAUGCAAGUCGAGCGAACAGACGAGGAGCUUGCUCCUCUGACGUUAGCGGCGGACGGGUGAGUAAAACGUGGAGAACCUACCUAUAAGACUGGGAUAACUUCGGGAAACCGGAACUAAUACCGGAUAAUAUAUUGAACCGCAUGGUUCAAUAGUGAAAGACGGUUUUGCUGUCACUUAUAGAUGGAUCCGCGCCGCAUUAGCUAGUUGGUAAGGUAACGGCUUACCAAGGCAACGAUGCGUAGCCGACCUGAGAGGGUGAUCGGCCACACUGGAACUGAGACACGGUCCAGACUCCUACGGGAGGCAGCAGUAGGGAAUCUUCCGCAAUGGGCGAAAGCUUGACGGAGCAACGCCGCGUGAGUGAUGAAGGUCUUCGGAUCGUAAAACUCUGUUAUUAGGGAAGAACAAAUGUGUAAGUAACUAUGCACGUCUUGACGGUACCUAAUCAGAAAGCCACGGCUAACUACGUG